GCGCCGCGCCCCCUUCCCCGAAGCCCAGGCCCCCACCCGCCGCGCUCCGUCUCCUCCGCGCAUGCGCGCGCCCCCUCCCGCCCGCGUCUGCGCAGCGAGGGUCGCUACCCUGCGCGAAGUGCGCCGUUCGGGUUCGUUGGGCUCCCACCUUGCGGCACGACGACCGUCUUCCACCCGCUCCUCUUCAGAGUGCCCAACUUUUUUGAUGGAUUUAUGAAAUAUUGUUAGAGUCGAAGCCGCGAUUCAAGGCUGGUGUCAGAGGCCUUUUACGAAAAUGGUGGAGAGUUACUGCAGAACAACGGAUUUGGGGCGAACCAUGAUAGGCAUUAUGUAGCUGUGGCUGUUGCUACCCUAUGCAGUACCUUUGUGGAAUUAAAAAGGCACCAGACCCGCAGGGAGAUGCAACGGACAGAUACUGCCACUCCAGGGCACGUCUGUCGUGACAUCCUCUUCAGAGACUCGAGUGCGUUGGGCAUCGGAAGCAGCUGCUCCUCUGUGGCCUCAGGAGACACAUUUCCACAGCUCAGCAGGAGCCAAGAACUGGGCAGAGGGUCUUCCUGGAGACAGCCAGAGCAGGAAAAGAGAAAGUGGUGGGUGCUCCAUUUCCUGGUAGGAUUUGCCUGUGCGUA
This is a long non-coding RNA of Myotis davidii, 629 nucleotides long. RefSeq lists it as uncharacterized. The transcript has 3 exons. Lineage: Eukaryota; Metazoa; Chordata; Mammalia; Chiroptera; Vespertilionidae. The record is from RefSeq and is a predicted model, not a curated record.